Molecule: long non-coding RNA, 647 nt
Organism: Salvia miltiorrhiza (redroot sage)
Lineage: Eukaryota; Viridiplantae; Streptophyta; Magnoliopsida; Lamiales; Lamiaceae
Exons: 3
Source: RefSeq, a predicted model, not a curated record
AGUAUGGGUUGUUAGUUGUUAAAACGAGACGAGACGAGAUAUUUAACGACUAACGGGUUAAUAUCCUAAAUAUCUAACCUACCCUACCCCUAACCACCCCCAAACCUCCCAAAACCCCUUUCCCCUCACUAACUCACGCUAUAUCAGCCCACACCACACACACAACUCACAUAUUCACACACACAACACCUAAAACACACACUACACACGCCAUUUUCCAUUUAAGCUUGGACGGAGCUUUUGACCUCCGAUUUGAGCACCGAGACGAGCGCCGAUCAUCUUUUCGAUCACGUAUCUAAGUAGGUCCUUUUGGGAAGUAACGACUUGAGGGAGAGAGUGACGUUACUCAUUGAUACAGAGACACAACGAGGUUGAACUGAUGUGAUGAUGGUGCUGCAAUGAGCGGAGUCUCCAGGGUUGUUAAUAAAUAGUUAACCUGUCUAGAAUAUGUCUUCAUACAUAUGUCUAGCUACUUUCCGCUGCAAGAUGUUGUUGAUGUUAUAGUAUGUUAUGUCAUACUUUGAGUCUUAAGAGAAUGGUUGCAUAUGAUGUAUAACUUGAUUAAUGAUAUUAAUUAACUUUUAUGCAGUCUUUCAUAGACUGUUUUCAAUUGAGUAUUAAUGAAUAAAAAUGACGAGUUUUAUUAA